AACGAACGCUGGCGGCAUGCCUAACACAUGCAAGUCGAACGAGACCUUCGGGUCUAGUGGCGCACGGGUGCGUAACGCGUGGGAACCUGCCCUUAGGUUCGGCAUAACUCCCCGAAAGGGGUGCUAAUACCGGAUAAUGUCUUCGGACCAAAGAUUUAUCGCCUUUGGAUGGGCCCGUGUUGGAUUAGCUAGUUGGUAGGGUAAAAGCCUACCAAGGCGACGAUCCAUAGCUGGUCUGAGAGGAUGAGCAGCCACACUGGGACUGAGACACGGCCCAGACUCCUACGGGAGGCAGCAGUGGGGAAUAUUGGACAAUGGGCGGAAGCCUGAUCCAGCAAUGCCGCGUGAGUGAUGAAGGCCUUAGGGUUGUAAAGCUCUUUUACCCGGGAGGAUAAUGACAGUACCGGGAGAAUAAGCUCCGGCUAACUCCGUG
This 433-nucleotide ribosomal RNA is filed under the name uncultured bacterium. RNAcentral describes it as "partial 16S ribosomal RNA". It matches the Rfam family "Bacterial small subunit ribosomal RNA", at positions 29 to 507 of the family's 1533-position model. The record is from RNAcentral.